GAUGAACGCUGGCGGCGUGCCUAAUACAUGCAAGUCGAGCGAACAGACGAGGAGCUUGCUCCUCUGACGUUAGCGGCGGACGGGUUAGUAACACGUGGAUAACCUACCUAUAAGACUGGGAUAACUUCGGGAAACCGGAGCUAAUACCGGAUAAUAUAUUGAACCGCAUGGUUCAAUAGUGAAAGACGGUUUUGCUGUCACUUAUAGAUGGAUCCGCGCCGCAUUAGCUAGUUGGUAAGGUAACGGCUUACCAAGGCAACGAUGCGUAGCCGACCUGAGAGGGUGAUCGGCCACACUGGAACUGAGACACGGUCCAGACUCCUACGGGAGGCAGCAGUAGGGAAUCUUCCGCAAUGGGCGAAAGCCUGACGGAGCAACGCCGCGUGAGUGAUGAAGGUCUUCGGAUCGUAAAACUCUGUUAUUAGGGAAGAACAAAUGUGUAAGUAACUAUGCACGUCUUGACGGUACCUAAUCAGAAAGCCACGGCUAACUACG
RNAcentral lists this ribosomal RNA (495 nucleotides) under uncultured bacterium. RNAcentral's name for it is "partial 16S ribosomal RNA". It matches the Rfam family "Bacterial small subunit ribosomal RNA", at positions 28 to 505 of the family's 1533-position model. The record is from RNAcentral.